GCCACGUGGUCGGCUCUGCCUGCUGCUCCCGGCGCCGUGGAACAGUUGCCGGUAACCCGCUGCGUUGUGUACACGUAUGGCCUUACAAAUCUCAGAAUACUGAGAUCUCUGUUUUCCGACUGGUGCACGAGAUGGGGUAUGUUGGGGCAGACAGCCAGCUGAGACUCAGAGCGAGAGAUGCCGAAAGUUAAAGCGGUCCUGGUGAUGGAGGAGGGACGCAAGCAAAGAGGGAGAGCACGAUUAGAAUAAGGAUGGGACCAAAGGUUAAGCAAAGACUCAGCGGAAGACCGAAUCAGGCACAGCAGCAGUGAACCAAGGAGCGACUCUUCAUAUCAGAGAUGGAAAAUCAGGUUCAGAAGUAAACUCUGAAUUGCAACCCCCUGAAAAACAAAGCUUCUCUUCCAGUUUCUCCUACGUCAAUAAUGACAGCAUGAAAAAUUUCAGAAGCCAUUGAAUGGGAGUUGACAAUUUUGUAACGUGUAAAGGUGGGCAAGAAUCUCAAGGAUGAUGCAGAUAUAGCAUAUAACAGUACUU
RNAcentral lists this long non-coding RNA (534 nucleotides) under Equus asinus (donkey). Its description in RNAcentral is "lncRNA (ENSEASG00005035280.1)". Lineage: Eukaryota; Metazoa; Chordata; Mammalia; Perissodactyla; Equidae. The record is from RNAcentral.